GAUUUCUGGCUUGGCGCGCACGGCUCGCCUCGUUUUCGAUGGUGAAUGCCGUCGUGCGCCGGUCAUCGUUCUGGUGAACGUUGGUGCCCUUCACUGGGUGGCUGGCGCGCAUCAGAUCCUUUACUUUGAAAAAAUUAGAGUGUUUAAAGCAGGCAAGCGCUAUGAAUAUAUUAGCAUGGAAUAAUAAUUUAGGACUUUGGUUCUAUUUUGUUGGUUUCUAGGACUGAAGUAAUGAUUGAUAGGGAUAGUUGGGGGUGCUAGUAUUCAGUGGCCAGAGGUGAAAUUCUUGGAUUCACUGAAGACUAACUACUGCGAAAGCAUU
Molecule: ribosomal RNA, 322 nt
Filed under: uncultured cercomonad
Lineage: Eukaryota; Cercozoa; Cercomonadida; Cercomonadidae
Description: SSU rRNA
Rfam family: Eukaryotic small subunit ribosomal RNA (bases 102-322)
Source: RNAcentral